AUGGAUUUGGGUGGGAAAGCGAAGGAUUUGGUGGUAUUUGGUGAUUAUCGCCGGACGACGCCGGAGUUCGCCUCAGUCGCUGUAGGCACUAGAACCGUCACGAAGGGACGGAAAGACUCCCCUUGUUUGCUGUCUCGAGGUGAACCAAGUUUUGAAAAGCUAUCUCGUAUGCACUUGGCGUUUCAUGACUGGGAUCAACGAGUGUUGAAAAAACCAAAGAAAAGGCUCCGGAAAGUGCAGAGGGAGUUAGAGGAAGUAAUGACGGGCCCCAUGACGGAUGAAAAUGAAAUCAAGAGGAAGGAGCUAGCUGAACUAGUAGAGUAUCUUCUGGAACUUAAAGAGAUCCAAACCAUGCAGCGUUCUCGUGUUGACUGGCUUCGAUUUGGAGAUCGGAAUACGGCUUAUUUCCAGGCUUAUGCAGCGGCAAGGCGGAAAAGAAAUUAG
Molecule: ribosomal RNA, 444 nt
Filed under: Triticum aestivum (bread wheat)
Lineage: Eukaryota; Viridiplantae; Streptophyta; Magnoliopsida; Poales; Poaceae
Description: partial small subunit ribosomal RNA
Source: RNAcentral